Molecule: transfer RNA, 85 nt
Filed under: Felis catus (domestic cat)
Lineage: Eukaryota; Metazoa; Chordata; Mammalia; Carnivora; Felidae
Also listed under: 1 other name
Rfam family: tRNA
About the family: Transfer RNA (tRNA) molecules are approximately 80 nucleotides in length. Their secondary structure includes four short double-helical elements and three loops (D, anti-codon, and T loops).
Source: Rfam by way of RNAcentral
GCCUGGGUGGCUCAGUUGGUUAAGUGUCUGACUUCAGCUCAGGUCAUGAUCUCACAGUUCAUGAGUUCAAGCCUCAUGUCGGGCU